RNAcentral lists this ribosomal RNA (527 nucleotides) under Tectidrilus sp. LFR-2016. RNAcentral describes it as "partial 16S ribosomal RNA". It matches the Rfam family "Bacterial large subunit ribosomal RNA", at positions 1797 to 2620 of the family's 2925-position model. Lineage: Eukaryota; Metazoa; Annelida; Clitellata; Tubificida; Naididae. The record is from RNAcentral.
CGCCUGUUUUAUCAAAAACAUUGCCACUUGACUCCUAUAUAAGUGGUAAAUCCUGCCCCAUGGACCCCUAAAUGGCCGCGGUACCCUGACCGUGCAAAGGUAGCAUAAUCACUUGCCUAUUAAUUGUAGGCUAGUAUGAAUGGACACACGAAGUCAUCACUAUCUACUUUAAGUAAAUAAAACUUAAUCUUCAAGUGAAGAAGCUUAAAUAAACCCGCAGGACAAGAAGACCCUAUAGAGCUUUAUCUUUUCCCUACAUCAUAAGUAGACUACGAUUCGGUUGGGGCGACCAGGGAAAAUUCAUCUUCCCUUAACUAAAAGAUCUACCCAUCACUCCAUAGAUCCUGACUAACAGAUCCUAGAAACUAGCUACCUUAGGGAUAACAGGCUAAUUUUCCUAGAGAGUCCCUAUUAACAGGAAAGUUUGGCACCUCGAUGUUGGCUUAGGAUCCCUCUAUGAUGUAACCGUCAUAAAUAGGUGGUUUGUUCAACCAUUAAAAUCCUACGUGAUCUGAGUUCAGACCGGA